This 1086-nucleotide ribosomal RNA is filed under the name uncultured organism. RNAcentral's name for it is "bacterial SSU rRNA". It matches the Rfam family "Bacterial small subunit ribosomal RNA", at positions 144 to 1200 of the family's 1533-position model. The record is from RNAcentral.
UAAGCCUUCGAAAGGAUGGCUAAUACCUGGAUGCAGUGCAGACCCACAAGUGUCUGUAUGAAAGACUGCCUCUUCUUGAAAGCAGUUGUUUGAAAAUGAGUUUGCGUACCAUGAGCUUGUUGGUGGGGUAAUGGCCCAGCAAGGCUGUGAUGGUCAGCUGGUCUGAGAGGAUGAUCAGUCACACUGGAACUGGAACACGGUCCAGACUCCUACGGGAGGCAUCAGUGAGUGAAUUUUGCGCAAUGGGGGAAACCCUGACGCAGCAGCGCCGCGUGAGUGAAGAAGGCCCUUGGUUCGUAAAGCUCUGUCAACCGUGGAAGAAGUUACAUAGCAUUAACAAUGAUAUGUAUUGACGGUACCGGUGGAGGAAGCGCCGGCUAACUCCGUGCCAGCAGCCGCGGUAACACGGGGGGCGCAAGCGUCAUUCGGAAUUAUUGGGCGUAAAGGGCGCGUAGGCGGGCUUGUCGGUCAGAUGUGAAAGCCCGGGGCUCAAACCUGGAAGUGCAUUUGAAACAGCAAGACUUGAGUAACGGGAGAGGAAAGCGGAAUUCCUGGUGUAGAGGUGAAAUUCGUAGAUAUCAGGAGGAACACCGAUGACGAAGGCAGCUUUCUGGACCGAUACUGACGCUGAGGCGCGAAGGCAUGGGUACCGAACAGGAUUAGAUACCCUGGUAGUCCACGCAGUAAACGAUGUUCACUAGGUCUAACGGGUAUUAAAAUCUGCUGUGCCACAGUCAACGCAUUAAGUGAACCGCCUGGGAAGUACGCUCGCAAGACUGAUACUCAAAGGAAUUGACGGGGGCCCGCACAAGCGGUGGAGCAUGUGGUUUAAUUCGACGCAACGCGAAGAACCUUACCUGGGUCUGACAUCCUGUGAAUCUUCCAGAGAUGGAAGAGUGCCUUCGGGAGCACAGAGACAGGUACUGCAUGGCUGUCGUCAGCUCGUGUCGUGAGAUGUCUUGGUUAAGUCACGAGCAACGAGCGCAACCCUUGUCGUCAGCAGCCAGAGCGUAAUGCCGGGAAAUCCGGCGAGACUGCCCCGGUUAACGGGGAGGAAGGUGGGGAUGACGUCAAGUCCUCAUGGCC